AGAGUUUGAUCCUGGCUCAGAACGAACGUUGGCGGCGUGGAUUAGGCAUGCAGGUCGAACGAAUCCCACUGCUGUAGCAAUACAGCGGUGGGGGAAGUGGCGAAAGGGGCAGUAAGGCGUGGGUAACCUACCCCGGGGACGUGGAUAGCCGGCCUAACGGCCGGGUAAUACGCGGCGAGUCGAUGGCGGGGCAUCUCGCUAUCGGGAAAUGAAUUUCGCCUCGGGAGGGGCUCACGUGAUAUUAGCUUGUUGGCGGGGUAACGGCCCACCAAGGCGAAGAUGUCUAGCGGGUGUGAGAGCACGACCCGCGCCACUGGCACUGAGACACUGGCCAGACACCUACGGGUGGCUGCAGUCGAGGAUCUUCGGCAAUGGGCGCAAGCCUGACCGAGCGACGCCGCGUGUGCGAUGAAGGCCUUCGGGUUGUAAAGCACUGUCGAGGGGGAGAAAGCCCGCGAGGGUUGAUCGAUCCCUGGAGGAAGCACGGGCUAAGCUCGUGCCAGCAGCCGCGGUAAUAC
This 518-nucleotide ribosomal RNA is filed under the name uncultured bacterium. RNAcentral's name for it is "bacterial SSU rRNA". It matches the Rfam family "Bacterial small subunit ribosomal RNA", at positions 8 to 526 of the family's 1533-position model. The record is from RNAcentral.